RNAcentral lists this ribosomal RNA (253 nucleotides) under uncultured bacterium. RNAcentral describes it as "partial 16S ribosomal RNA". It matches the Rfam family "Bacterial small subunit ribosomal RNA", at positions 524 to 776 of the family's 1533-position model. The record is from RNAcentral.
UACGAAGGGUGCAAGCGUUAAUCGGAAUUACUGGGCGUAAAGCGCGCGUAGGUGGUUCAGUAAGUUGGAAGUGAAAUCCCCGGGCUCAACCUGGGAACUGCUUUCAAAACUGCUGAGCUAGAGUACGGUAGAGGGUGGUGGAAUUUCCUGUGUAGCGGUGAAAUGCGUAGAUAUAGGAAGGAACACCAGUGGCGAAGGCGACCACCUGGACUGAUACUGACAUUGAGGUGCGGAAGCGUGGGGAGCAAACAGG